CCUACGGGAGGCAGCAGUGGGGAAUCUUGCGCAAUGGGCGAAAGCCUGACGCAGCAACGCCGCGUGCGGGAAGAAGGCUUUCGGGCUGUAAACCGCUUUCAGCAGGAACGAAAAUGACGGUACCUGCAGAAGAAGGAGCGGCCAACUAUGUGCCAGCAGCCGCGGUGAUACAUAGGCUUCAAGCGUUGUCCGGAUUUAUUGGGCGUAAAGAGUUCGUAGGCGGUCGAGUAAGUCGGGUGUGAAAAUUCUGGGCUCAACCCAGGGACGCCACCCGAUACUGCUUAACUUGAGUUCGAUAGGGGAGUGGGGAAUUCCUAGUGUAGCGGUGAAAUGCGCAGAUAUUAGGAGGAACACCGGUGGCGAAGGCGCCACUCUGGAUCGAUACUGACGCUGAGGAACGAAAGCAUGGGUAGCAAACAGGAUUAGAUACCCUGGUAGUCCAUGCCGUAAACGGUGGGCACUAGGUGUGGGAUUCUAUUAACGAAUUCCGCGCCGUCGCUAACGCAUUAAGUGCCCCGCCUGGGGAGUACGGUCGCAAGCUAAAACUCAAAGGAUUGAACGGCUGNGAGUGCGAGCGACACGAGGAGAG
RNAcentral lists this ribosomal RNA (589 nucleotides) under uncultured bacterium. Its description in RNAcentral is "bacterial SSU rRNA". It matches the Rfam family "Bacterial small subunit ribosomal RNA", at positions 338 to 943 of the family's 1533-position model. The record is from RNAcentral.